AACACAUGCAAGUCGAGCGGAGUUUACGAGAAAGCUUGCUUUUUUGUAAACUUAGCGGCGGACGGGUGAGUAACGCGUGGGCAACCUGCCUUGUACAGGGGGAUAACACAGGGAAACUUGUGCUAAUACCGCAUAACACAUUGAUAUGGCAUCGUAUUAAUGUCAAAGGAGCAAUCCGGUACGAGAUGGGCCCGCGUCCAAUUAGCUAGUUGGUGGGGUAAAGGCCUACCAAGGCGACGAUUGGUAGCCGAUCUUAGAGGAUGAUCAGCCACACUGGGACGGAGACACGGCCCAGACUCCUACGGGAGGCAGCAGUGGGGAAUUUUCCGCAAUGGGCGAAAGCCUGACGGAGCAACGCCGCGUGAGGGAUGAAGGCCUCUGGGCUGUAAACCUCUUUUCUCAAGGAAGAAGACCUGACGGUACUUGAGGAAUAAGCCACGGCUAAUUCCGUGCCAGCAGCCGCCGUAA
This 468-nucleotide ribosomal RNA is filed under the name uncultured bacterium. RNAcentral's name for it is "partial 16S ribosomal RNA". It matches the Rfam family "Bacterial small subunit ribosomal RNA", at positions 50 to 523 of the family's 1533-position model. The record is from RNAcentral.